ACAAAUCCAAUAUGGGGAGGGGAUGUGUCCCUGACCUAAUAUUAAACCGCUAGUCCCGUCAUUGGGACUAGUUGGAUAUAUAUGCGUGAAUGUUGACAGUGUGUGUAACUAAAAUUUAUUGA
This 122-nucleotide unclassified non-coding RNA is filed under the name uncultured Rozellomycota. RNAcentral's name for it is "uncultured Cryptomycota sequence contains ITS1". Lineage: Eukaryota; Fungi; Rozellomycota. The record is from RNAcentral.